Equus caballus (horse) is the source of this 2560-nucleotide long non-coding RNA. The record is from Ensembl. Lineage: Eukaryota; Metazoa; Chordata; Mammalia; Perissodactyla; Equidae.
AUUAUCCAGGGGAGUUGGAAAGACAACCUCUCCUUGAGGAACCAAACUAAGGGAAAAGCCCAUUUUGCUGGGUGCUAAGGCAGGGAGAGAGGAGGUGGUGGGAACCAACAGUGCGCCUGCCCAGUGCUUGAGGAGUGACAGUCUGUGGAAGGACACACACUGGACAGUCACACCCUGCGAGGACAGAUACGGAAGUGUAGUCUGACAUGAAUGGAAAACUACUCUCGGUGCUGUCUGAUGGAUGUUGAUAAGACCAAUGAGGCAAUCCAAGGUAAGCCAAAGGUCUGUGUGUCCAGAUGAGGUGAGGGGAGGUGCCCCACACAAGCUCAUGGUAGUGCAGGACUUGAGGGGAAGCCUGGCCAACAGGAAGAGUCAUUCUUGUCCAUUUCACAACUCGACCAUGGGUAUAAAGGGUCUGGGUGGGGAUGGCCCUGAAGAAGCCUGAAUUUCCUCUGCUUUGGAGCAAAAGUGGGCUCUUUCCUUUGAAUUCUAAGGCUAAAAAAAAAAAGACCUUAACCACACCAUUCAAAGUAUUUCACCUCGUAGAAUAAAUGCGUCUGGUUGAACCAUGUGAAAUUGUCACUUAACUGUGACCUUAAAAACUUCAUAUCACUCAAACUAACGUUCCUGUUGAGUGUUGUUGUUUAAUCAUAUUGGUAUUAUUGAUUUAUAUAUUGUAUCAAUGAAAGAAAUAGAAACCGGUAAAUGUAAAUACAUCAGUUAAUGAUAUUUCUGACUCAAGAGAAUGAUCCCAUCAGUUGUUAUCUCAAGUCAGACAAAGCCCUGUAAAGAGCCUAAAAUUCAACUGAAUAUAAUUUUAAGUACCUUUAAGCAUUGCAUGGUCCUAAAAAUAUAAAAGAAUGCACGAAUUCAUCAAGUUCCAAGAUCUUUAAAAUGACAUUUCUGGGGCCGGCUCCGUGGCUGAGUGGUUAAGUUCGCGUGCUCCGCUGCGGCAGCCCAGGGUUCGGAUCCUGGGCACGGACAUGGCACCACUCAUCAGGCCACGUUGAGGCGGCAUCCCACAUCCCACAACUGGAAGGACCUGCAACUAAGAUAUACAACUGUGUACGGGCGGGUUUGGGGAGAUAAAGUAGAAAAAAAAAAAAGAUUGGCAAUGGUUGUUAGCCCAGGGGCCAAUCCUUAAAAAGAAAAGAAAAAAGGAAGAUUGGCAACAGUUGUUAGCCCAGGUGCCAAUCUUUAAAAAAAAAAACGACAUUUCUUAGGAUCCCAUCAACUUCAAAGGUGUAGAGAGUGAGAAGGAGAAUAUGUUUAUGGUCUUAGGGACUUACUCACCUGAGUGGAAGCUGCAGGCUCCUACCGGUAGAUAAAAGGAACAGGUCAUGUGUUUAAUUUGAGUCCAGUUGAGGAGGUGAUCCCUCCCCUCUUGAACUUAAGGGACCAUUGACAAAACAACUGUAAAUAGACUAAGCGCCCCACCUUGGAGACACAAAUGAGAAUCCAGGCAGCUUCCCAUGUAAAUCUCUCUUAGUAGAUAUUAUCAGUUGCAACAAAACAGGCUGCAAGUGGCCUGAGACCCUUCCAGUUAUGAUGAUGAACAUGUGGGCACAUUUCAAAGGACUCUAGAGCUAAUCCCAGGAGGUUUCAGUUCUCUUUCAGCUGUUGCUUCCAACACCUGGAGGGCACUUGCUGUCAUCACCGAUGAUCACUUCUAUUCCAAGUCCUUUCUGUGCAAAAGGGUGGGCUGCCAGGCCAACAUUGCACUCUCACCAACUAGCCAUACUGGACAGGAGACUGUGGCUACAAAGAUUCUGGAGGAAGACCACCUCGGCCCCAGUGGUGUGUGUCCUAUGAAAUUCUCUUGACCAUGCUCCAGGAUACACGCAUCUUGUUGCAAGUCAGCCCUACACUCCUUCCAGAGACCCUUGGAUAACAAGCCACAACCACAUCCAAAUUGCCUUGAAAACUAGAUGAUAUGAGUAUUCCAAAAUAUUCAAAAACCAAACAAUCUGGCCCUUGUUAUAAAUAGACUUUAUUAUUCUCCAGUUGGGGAGGUAAACUGACAUAAAUGCCACCAUUAAGAGGUUGACAAACUGUACUAAAAAUGUACUAUGUACUUUGAACAUUUUUUUGUAAUCUGUGAGGUCAAUAUCAACUUGUUUUAUGAUAUCCUACAUUUCAGAUAUUGACAUUGAAAAUAGAUGAAAAAUAACUUUAUCAAAGUUUUUUCAUUGUUCCUUUAGAAAAAAAAAGAUGGGGCUGACUUCUGCAAAUUUUGGAUACCGUGAUGACCUCAGAAAACCUAGAGGACCUUCCACAACCUUGUGGCAGCUUCAGACUAAGAGUUCUGGAGGCUGAGAAGUCCAAGAUCAAGCUGCUGGCAGAUUCAGUGUCUGAUGAGGGCUCACAUCCUGGUUCAUAGACAUCUUUUCCUGCAUCCUCACACGGCAGAAGAAACAAGGGAAGUCUCCGGGAUGUCUUUUAUAAGGGCAUUAAUUUCAUCCAUGUGGGCUCCACCCUCAUGACCUAAAUACUUCCCAAAGGCCCCAUCACAUUGGGGGUUAAGAUCUUUAAGAUAUGAAUUUGGGGGGGACAUAUUCAG